Molecule: ribosomal RNA, 253 nt
Filed under: uncultured bacterium
Lineage: Bacteria
Description: partial 16S ribosomal RNA
Rfam family: Bacterial small subunit ribosomal RNA
Source: RNAcentral
GACGUAGGGGGCAAGCGUUGUCCGGAUUCAUUGGGCGUAAAGAGCGUGUAGGCGGCCAGGUAGGUCGGUUGUGAAAACUGGAGGCUCAACCUUCAGAGGUCGACCGAAACCAUCUGGCUAGAGUCCGGGAGAGGAGAGUGGAAUUCCUGGUGUAGCGGUGAAAUGCGCAGAUAUCAGGAAGAACACCCGUGGCGAAGGCGGCAUUCUGGACCGACAUUGACGCUGAGGAGCGAAAGCCAGGGGAGCAAACGGG